UUUCUCAAAUAUCUGAGUAAAUGUAAGGACAAGCAAGUCCGUAUACAAAACAUAUUAAAUACAUUUAAUACAAAAAAAUGUAUGUAUAUAUGCAUAUAAAAAAAGUCUAACUUACUCAGAAUAAAAAUGAUAUCAGGAAUUAAAGAGAUUGAGUGGGAGUUUUAUGAGUCCAACAGCUGUUUUUGUGGGGUCUGGUGGUCCAAAAUAAUGAUUGCAACUUGAUUCCAUCAUUGGAUAAAACCAGCCGUUAUCUUUAGGGAAGAAUUUUACAUUUGAGGUGUUGACAGAAUGGAGUUUGCUUGUCCUCUACCUGCUCAAGUUUAAAUCUCUUGAGCACUACAAAAUGUAUUCUAUACAAGGAACACCUAUCUCUAAUCUAUGAAAUAUACAGGGUAGCCCAAAAGUAGGUUUACAGUUAUCACAGGCACUUUGAAUUUCUUUUAAAACAUUUUGUUACAUUGAAAUUUCUCUGUAAUUGACAGAAAAGGGAGGUCGACAAAAUUAACUAAAUUGGCAUGGAAUAAUGGUUUAAUUUUCUUUUUUUUUUUUUUUUUCACAAUUAAGAUCUAAACUGUUUAUAUAUAAAUGUGAAAGAGAGAUAGUUGAAUAAUUGUAAACCUACCUUUGUGCCACCCUGUAUAUAAAUCUAUAUAAGUGGGGAAAUUCAAGUGAGAAACCAACUAGCAUGGAGGAAACUUCUGAAGUCAUGCCAAAGCCAUGGACAGCCAUAAUCACAACAACUGACUGCAGACACAUACACAAACACAUACAUUUAUAUACAUAAUCCCCCGCCCCGCCCAUGUAUAUUUUAGCUUGAUUUUUUUAAUCACUGAUUCUUUUUUGCAUUGGAAAUGAUUGAUGAAGAAAGGUGAUUAAUGAAACAGAAGCUGAACAAUGACUUACCUGCAGCCAAAACAGCAGGGAAGCUCCUUUCUGUUGGUUGAUUAUCAUUGCUAGAAAUAGCAGCCAAAUCUCCUCAGUCUUGCAUUGCAUAUAUGCCUUACUGUUUUAAAUGUAGAAAAGACAUUAAUCGACAGUGCAUGGUAAAAGUUGGGGGUGGUCAUGACUGGAACCCCCUUAUACACGUGUUUAUGGUGGAUCAGGGGCCCGAAUAACGAUAUUAAUAACGACAUUUCAUAUAAUCCGACAAUAACUAAUUUGCAUUAAAAUAUUUUUUAGAUGGCAGGUUGGGGGGGGGGGGGGCGGUGCAGUGAGUCAGCCAUUGGUCAGGUGGUGGAGAUAUAUAUACAUAUGUAUGUCUGUUAAAAGGCCAUAAUGUAUUUUUCGGUCUGAAUGCCUUGCUCCCUCUUUAUCUCCCUUUGUCCCCUUUUCUUCGUCCCUUCUUUUAUGAUGCUUUCUUAAAACCAACCAACCAACCAACCAACCAGCCAAUUCAUUCAUGUUUUAAUUCAUUUUCAUGUUUCAUUAUAUUUUUGCAUUUUUUUUUUUUUUCUGGCAACGAAAGCUUGUUUUAGAUAUUUAUUUUAUUUUGUUUAUAAUUAAUUUUUUUGUUAGGAUUAUUUUUUUAAAAUUAUUUAUUUAUUUACAUUUUUCAAAUGUUUCAUUAAAUUGUUUUGUUUUUUUUUUGUCUUUACUAUAUUUCAUUUUUCUGUUACAGAGAGAAAAAAAAAAUUGUCAAUUUUGCAUUUUGUUUCUCACUUCCUUGUUUGUUCGUAGUAUUUUUUUUUAUAUUUUUAUUUUUACUUUUAUUUAUUUUAUUUUUUUAAAACUCUUCUCUCAAACUGCUGAUCCCCGCCCCCCACCUCAACCUCCCCAAUUCCACUUUUCAUCCCUAUCCCCAGGCCUGAUCAUGCUUCCCAUCAUCAGUGUCCACCACCACCACCAGGCAACAAACACCCAUUUCUGUCUUAAUCAACAUUAGACAGCCCCUUUGUCUACCUACCUACCUACCCCCACUCUCUCUAUCUCUCUCUGUCCAUCUAUCUACCUCUCACCUAUCUACCUGUCUAUCUCUAUCACCUGCCUCCCAUGCUGUGCUUUAUUUUUUUUUUUUUUUACAUUACCUGGAAUAUUUUUAAUUUGUGGUUGUGCUUUUUUUUUUACUAUUAUCAUUAUAUAUAUAUAUAUACACGCACACAGACAUACAUACACACACACAUAUAUAUAUACAUAUAUAUACACAUGUAUAUAUAUG
RNAcentral lists this long non-coding RNA (2155 nucleotides) under Octopus vulgaris (common octopus). Lineage: Eukaryota; Metazoa; Mollusca; Cephalopoda; Octopoda; Octopodidae. The record is from RNAcentral.